AUUAUAGCAGCAGGACAAUCAAUGAAAUCAUUUCUUCUCAUUCAAGUUUUCUAGAAUUUUCUCUUCAAUUGUUUCUUUUCAAUUCCGUGAGAGAGUCUCCUAGGGGAGUAGGAUUAUGAUCAUUUGAUCGACUCACGCUUGUCAUAGUAUUGGUUGGAAUAUUUGGUGAUUUGGGUGGGAUUGAGGUGGUUUGGCUAGUGGAAAUAGGUGGUAUAGUCAUCUACUUUCUAGAGAGAGAAAGUUGGGGUUUAUCUUGCUAGCUUUGUCUGUUACUUUCUUUAUUCGAGGUAAACACAUUCAUUUCUUCAACCGUCUACUCAUAGUUCUAAUAAUUUAUACAGCAAAAUGAUGAAUAAAUAAACCGGAAUAGAACCGUGAUAAUCGUGAUAAUUAAUAAUUAAUUUAAGAGAUUAUUAAAACCUAAUGAGAAGUAAAUAAUGUACUACAUUUCUUUCGUCGAAGCCCAAAACUAGGCUUCGAGAUCCUCAAUUCUCCAUCAAAUUGUUUUAUUUGAUCUUUGGUCAAAAUGGCAUUUCAACAAUAUUAAUAUUAUUUUAUUUAAUUGCCAGCAGCGAAGAAAAGAAUGCCAAUAAUCCUCGUUGGAGAAAAAUCAUAAAUAAGAAAAGUUAUAUCUUUGACUAAAUGCUUAGUCCUUUUGAAUAAGUUAAAUACCUACUUUAUAUACUAUUUAGAUUUUUCUUUGUUUUGUUCAAACACAAGUCUUUAUAGAAGUAUUAAAUUUACAAGUACAACUGCAAUUUAAUAAGACGAAAAGAAAUGCGAUUUAAUAAGAUCACGCCUUUUUUUCUAUUUAAAAAGGUAAAAUAAUUUAUAAUAAAAAAAGAUAUACUUCUAUACAUUGUUAGAACACAGAAAUGUCAAAUUCUGACAUAUUCUAGAAUCAAAAUAACAUAAAAUAACAAUAUAAAAAAAUUAUUAACAUAAGGUAAUGUUCUUGUCGUCAUAAUAUGGGAUUAAUCAUAAUCUGACGUUUUAAUUUCACUACCGACUUUAAUAGCCAAAUUUGCAAAAAAAAGUUUUUUUUUAAAAGAAGAGGUUGAGUUUUUUUUAUUAAACUAACGCUGGAAAAAAAAAAAUCAAGUUCUUGUACAAAUGCAAAUUAUUUAAUUUUUCUUCAACACCUAAACAUCCUACCCAUUUCCCUUAAACGUUGAUCAGACCAAAUCUUCCCGCGUGGGUCCCACAUUUUUCAUCCAUCUCCUCCUCCAAUUUUCCGCUGAUUUCUUCAAAACUUUUCUUCGUCUUCUGCCUCUUCUUCCCUAAGCAAGAAAAAUGGGAAUUUCUUUGAGUAAAAGGCAACAAAAUCAUCACCUCCACCACCCUCCUCCGCCACUACCGCCACCGUCUUCUUCCAUUCCUCCGCCCCUCCCUCCUAUUACACCACCUCCCCACCCAAGCUACUCCUUUCCUCCAACUACAACACCACCACCUCCCCCCUCGCAAAACCCCUAUCCUUUACUCCCCCCGCCUCCACGCCAUAACGUAGUCCCGACUUACCCUCCACCACCACCUCCUUCAAAUUCUUAUAAUUACCAUUUCAGUUUCAAUCAUCAGUCCAGUUAUGGUAGUAGUAGUAGUAGUAGGCCUGUAGUCUUUCAAAAUCAUUACCCUCCUUAUUAUCAUCCUCACGGUAAUAACGGAUGGGGGGGUGGGUUUAGACCUCCGCCAGCGCCGUUGCCGGUGGUGCCGUAUGUGGAUCACCAAAAUGCAAAGAAGAUUAAGAAUGAUGUUAAUGUUCAUAAGGAUACUAUACGGAUUCAACUCGAUGAGCUCAAUAAGGAUUGCCAUUUGGUUACCUUUACUUUUGAUGCCCUUGUUGAUGGAAGUAUCACCAUUUUCUACUUUGCGAAGGAAGGGGCCAACUGCAAAUUCAGUCCUGUAUAUCCUGAAAUCAAGCCUGUUCAAAUACCAUUUGAAAAAGGACUGGGCCAAAAGUUUUGCCAGCCUUCAGGAACUGGAAUUGACCUCGGGUUUUUUGACGUCAAUGACUUAUCAAAGCCAACCCAAGGAGAAGAAAUAUUCCCGCUUAUUAUAUCAGCGGAGUCAUGUUUUCCGUCUACACCAACAGAUGAGAAGUUUGAUGAGCAAUCACUAGAUAAGUCUCCCCAUGCACAAAUAACUGAAGCUGUGCUAGUGAAGAAUAAUGAGGAUCAUUUUCAAGUGAAAGUGAUCAAGCAGAUUUUAUGGAUUGAAGGAGUUCGCUAUGAGUUGCGAGAGAUUUAUGGUAUCAGCAAUUCAGAUGAAACUACCGUCAAUGAUGACGAGUCAGGAAAAGAAUGCGUGAUUUGUAUGACUGAGCCAAAAGACACAGCAGUUUUGCCAUGUAGGCAUAUGACUUGGUUCUCCCAGUAACAUACCGGAGUUCAGUCUUUAUUGGAGGUUGACAUUGGGGAAUAUAAUGAACUCCAGAGCUGGAGUUGGGGAUAAGGCCCUCGAAUUUCAAGAGGGGUCAAAUGACUACCAAAUGCUUUUGAUCAAUUUUAACAGUGUUUGUGCAGUGAGUGCGCCAAAGCACUGAGGCAUCAAUCAAAUAAGUGCCCUAUAUGCCGCCAACCCAUUGAGGAACUUCUGGAG
Molecule: non-coding RNA, 2595 nt
Organism: Nicotiana tabacum (common tobacco)
Lineage: Eukaryota; Viridiplantae; Streptophyta; Magnoliopsida; Solanales; Solanaceae
Source: RefSeq, a predicted model, not a curated record